Molecule: unclassified non-coding RNA, 529 nt
Filed under: Hevea brasiliensis (rubber tree)
Lineage: Eukaryota; Viridiplantae; Streptophyta; Magnoliopsida; Malpighiales; Euphorbiaceae
Source: RNAcentral
CUUCCUUCAAAUAUCUGAUAAACAAUGACAAUGCUGCAUCAAUGCCUCUGUAGUGGAAUUCCAGAUCCAGGAGUGCUCUGCUAGCUUCAAUUCGAAUUUGCCAUAAUGUCUUAAAAUCUUGAAAAGGUUUAAUGAGUUCAAAAACAUGAUCAAGAUGAACAGAUCCAGACAGCUUUAAGGCAAUUUGUACCAAUGUACGGAUGCAGCUGAUUGUCAAUAUACCAUUGUAGCUGGGCAUCAGCCUGUCAAAUUGCAGAAGCCGAUCAAUGCGCUUGAGAAGAGAUGAUAAAAAGACAACACUCUGUUGCCCAAAUUCAAGUUGACCCACUGACUGGACUAAUGCAGCAAGCCAGAACACAUCAGAAUAAGGAUUUCCAGUGUUAUCAUUAUACUUGAGAAGUUGCAAAACAAAUUCAAUAGCUUCCCUCGGGCUUUUCUUGUCUGCAGCUCUAACUGUUGCUACAGCUUGAGGAAUUGCCUCAAGAACAAAGUAUUCAGGAAAAUCAUGAAAGUCAUUUGGCUUGGGUAG